CUUACUAUUUUGAGCCAAGAAGAGGCGUCAAUGUGCCUAUCUAAGCUAUAUAGUCGUCCUUCCGAUUCGGCAAUUUCAACCUGUAAUGAUCUUUCACUCUUGAUAAUUUUUUCUUUUUAUCUCGAUAAUAAAUGAAACUUAUUUAACUCAAUGAUCUCGGUCAUAGCAUUUUUCCUCAAAAAAGUAACUGCUCUGACGAUUGGGAGACGAUUUUGUGAUGAACUCGAUACUCCGAAUUUCUCCAGAUUCAUCAUUGAGUUGUCUGAUACCAUUAGGGGAUACAUCGUUUUAUAAAUUAAGUAUUAUUUAAAAAUAAUUCAAACUUUGUAAUAUUCGACCUUAGUUGAUGUCGAAUACUUUCGGAAAUUAAUUGAUAAUUCUAUUGGCUUCAAGCACUAAGAAUUGCGAUCCAAGACCGUAGUAGAAGAUUCACAAAAACGUUCUAAUAUUUUUCGCCACUAAGAACUCUGACUCAAAAUUGUUGUGACUUAACAAUGAAAAAUACUUAGAAUUCUAUAGACCUUGGUAACCACCAAAUGAAGUGAAAAUGUCUACUAACUAUCAACCGAGUUACGCACGGCCUUUAAAUGUCCGGAUUGUUAAUUUGCCCCCACUAGUUUUUCCUAUGAGUAUAUGUCUAAUUGUAUUUAAACGCCCUAGAGGGAGGAGACACCCUCUUCCUAUCGCAUAUCUCGAAUUAUAGUCCAAUAGUGUUACAGAAUGGUGGGGGGUGAAGUAAGCUAUUCGCUGGGGUUGGUUCGCUUUUGUUUAGUGCAAGGUGUAAUGGUACUUCUUGCAAAUUCUUAACUCCCACUCUCAUCCAUGUAUAUUAUUUAAAUAUAUUUAUUUAUUAUUUUAAUGUAAAAACGAAAAUUGUGCAGCAAGAUUUUGACACUUCACAAAACAUUUUUAUUUUAUUUUUUUAAAUACUAAGAAAAAAUUAUUUUGUAUAAAUAUAAACAAAAUUUUAUCGAUAAAAUUGAUAAAGAAAUUAAACUUUCAAAUAAACAAUUCUUUGUUGAAAUUUUGUAACGACAAAUGCACUUGUUAAAAGAUGUAGACAUUUUUUUAAAUUCUUCGAAAUAUGUUUGUCAAAAUCACAUGGUCAUAUAAAAUAUUUAACUGUGUAAUUAACAAUUUCAUUUGUUUCAAUAAUUCAUGUAUUUUAAAUAACUUAUUUAAUAUGUUUUAAGUUUUGUGAAAAUGCGAUAAUUUGGAGCGAAGUUUUAGGUUUAUACCUGCGCAGAUUUUAUAUUCGUACUCGCGGUUGCGUGACGCUGAACACUAUAAACCCGUAAUACCUAUAUCUUUUCUAUCAGCGAAAGAUAUCUACUUACUAUUUCAAAAAGUAUUAAUUAAUAAUCGCAACAAUCGACAGCGAUUGAUUUAUGAUGGAAAAGAUUAUUUAACAAGCAUUAAUGAAUGUC
Long non-coding RNA from Vespa mandarinia (Asian giant hornet), 1427 nucleotides. NCBI's taxonomy places the organism in Eukaryota, Metazoa, Arthropoda, Insecta, Hymenoptera, Vespidae. The record is from RefSeq and is a predicted model, not a curated record.